This 396-nucleotide long non-coding RNA is filed under the name Fukomys damarensis (Damara mole-rat). RNAcentral describes it as "lncRNA (ENSFDAG00000032455.1)". The record is from RNAcentral. Lineage: Eukaryota; Metazoa; Chordata; Mammalia; Rodentia; Bathyergidae.
GUGGAUAUGGGAAUUGAGUAUUCUGUUACACUGAGGAUCUGAGAGCUUCAAUUUAAAGAGCCAGCACUUGGAGUAUUUGAUAGCCACAGUGGCAUACUGUCCUAAUUUGGGUCACAUCACAACAGAGGAAGAGAGCUCAGAUUCUGAUGUGCAGAAUAUUUUCCGGAAGAAAAGCCUAAUUUUGGGAGGACCAGAAAAUGAGUCAAGAGGUGGGACCUCUCUGUCUUUUGCCUAAAUAACUUGUCCAAAGUUAUCCAGUGAGUAAAGUGAGGAGCCAGGAUUUUCAUCUAAGUCUUUCCAACUCCCAAGGCCAUUUGCUUAAUCACUGUGCAUCACUGCUGCUGGAUGAAAUUUUGUGGACAUUAUGGUCUCAUAGAAAUUAGGAAAGGCUGGGCA